AACGUAGGACACAAGCGUUAUCCGGAUUUACUGGGCGUAAAGGGCGUGUAGGCGGAUCGGUAAGUCUACUCUGAAAGCUCCUGGCUAAACUGGGAGAGGCGAGUGGAGACUGCCGGUCUAGAGUGAGGAAGAGGAAAGUGGAAUUCCGCGUGUAGUGGUGAAAUGCGUAGAGAUGCGGAGGAACACCAGUGGCGAAAGCGGCUUUCUGGUCCUUAACUGACGCUGAGGCGCGAAAGCUAGGGGAGCAAACAGG
This 253-nucleotide ribosomal RNA is filed under the name uncultured bacterium. RNAcentral describes it as "partial 16S ribosomal RNA". It matches the Rfam family "Bacterial small subunit ribosomal RNA", at positions 524 to 776 of the family's 1533-position model. The record is from RNAcentral.